GGGGAAUAUUGCGCAAUGGGGGAAACCCUGACGCAGCAACGCCGCGUGAGCGAUGAAGGUCUUCGGAUUGUAAAGCUCUGUCUUUAGGGACGAUAAUGACGGUACCUAAGGAGGAAGCCACGGCUAACUACGUGCCAGCAGCCGCGGUAAUACGUAGGUGGCAAGCGUUGUCCGGAUUUACUGGGCGUAAAGAGUAUGUAGGCGGAUAUUUAAGUCAGAUGUGAAAUUCCCGGGCUUAACCUGGGCGCUGCAUUUGAUACUGGAUAUCUAGAGUGUGGGAGAGGAAAGUGGAAUUCCUAGUGUAGCGGUGAAAUGCGUAGAGAUUAGGAAGAACACCAGUGGCGAAGGCGGCUUUCUGGACCAUAACUGACGCUGAGGCGCGAAAGCAUGGGUAGCAAAC
This 400-nucleotide ribosomal RNA is filed under the name uncultured bacterium. RNAcentral's name for it is "bacterial SSU rRNA". It matches the Rfam family "Bacterial small subunit ribosomal RNA", at positions 356 to 773 of the family's 1533-position model. The record is from RNAcentral.